UACGUAGGCAGCAAGCGUUGUUCGGAGUUACUGGGCGUAAAGGGUGCGUAGGCGGCUUCUUAAGUCUGGUGUGAAAUCUCCCGGCUCAACUGGGAGGGUGCGCCGGAUACUGAGGGGCUAGAGUGUGGGAGAGGAAAGUGGAAUUCCUGGUGUAGCGGUGAAAUGCGCAGAUAUCAGGAAGAACACCCGUGGCGAAGGCGGCUCUCUGGGACGGUACUGACGCUGAGACGCGAAAGCGUGGGGAGCGAACAGG
Molecule: ribosomal RNA, 253 nt
Filed under: uncultured bacterium
Lineage: Bacteria
Description: partial 16S ribosomal RNA
Rfam family: Bacterial small subunit ribosomal RNA
Source: RNAcentral